RNAcentral lists this transfer-messenger RNA (351 nucleotides) under Pedosphaera parvula Ellin514. It matches the Rfam family "transfer-messenger RNA". From Rfam's summary of the family: Bacterial tmRNA, also known as 10Sa RNA or SsrA, is named for its dual tRNA and mRNA-like properties. Its role is to liberate the mRNA from a stalled ribosome. RNAcentral also lists the same sequence under 1 other name. The record is from Rfam by way of RNAcentral. Lineage: Bacteria; Pseudomonadati; Verrucomicrobiota; Pedosphaerae; Pedosphaerales; Pedosphaeraceae.
GGGGGCGUACUGGUUUCGACUUGGGAGAUACGCCAGAGGCGGCAUGCCGAGGAUGGUUCGUUGGCCUCGUAAAAAAUCGAACCAAAAAAUAAAAGCUACUGAAGAAUUAGCUCUCGCGGCUUAAUGCCACGACGUUCACUGCUGGACACCUGCUACGGUGGAUGAACGCUACAGCAGGUUAGAUCAAAUGCGGAGACUGCGCGCGGUUGGUCGAAAAAUUUCAUGCAGACUAGGCAGUGCGAAUCGUGUCAGAGCGUAAUCGCAUAGCAGAAAACUCUCCUUUGACUAAGCAUGUAGUCGCGGCUGGUUGGUUUGCCAAGGACGCGGGUUCAACUCCCGCCGCCUCCACCA